RNAcentral lists this ribosomal RNA (486 nucleotides) under uncultured bacterium. RNAcentral describes it as "partial 16S ribosomal RNA". It matches the Rfam family "Bacterial small subunit ribosomal RNA", at positions 30 to 507 of the family's 1533-position model. The record is from RNAcentral.
AUUGAACGCUGGCGGCAUGCCUUACACAUGCAAGUCGAACGGCAGCACGGGUGCUUGCACCUGGUGGCGAGUGGCGAACGGGUGAGUAAUACAUCGGAACAUGUCCUGUAGUGGGGGAUAGCCCGGCGAAAGCCGGAUUAAUACCGCAUACGAUCUACGGAUGAAAGCGGGGGACCUUCGGGCCUCGCGCUAUAGGGUUGGCCGAUGGCUGAUCAGCUAGUUGGUGGGGUAAAGGCCUACCAAGGCGACGAUCAGUAGCUGGUCUGAGAGGACGACCAGCCACACUGGGACUGAGACACGGCCCAGACUCCUACGGGAGGCAGCAGUGGGGAAUUUUGGACAAUGGGCGAAAGCCUGAUCCAGCAAUGCCGCGUGUGUGAAGAAGGCCUUCGGGUUGUAAAGCACUUUUGUCCGGAAAGAAAUCCUUGGCCCUAAUACGGUCGGGGGAUGACGGUACCGGAAGAAUAAGCACCGGCUAACUACGUG